Camelus dromedarius (Arabian camel) is the source of this 470-nucleotide non-coding RNA. The record is from the annotation of a RefSeq genome assembly. Lineage: Eukaryota; Metazoa; Chordata; Mammalia; Artiodactyla; Camelidae.
UCUCAGUCUGCAGGGGACAGCUGUCAGCAUGACACCUGUCAGCUUGCUGUGGGCAGCUCUGCUCUCCACCUGUCUCGGAGCCAGCGUGGCCCAGAUGGUCACUCAGCCUCAGCCAGAAGUGUCUGUGCGCGAGGCACAGACUGCCACCCUGGACUGUACGUAUAACACGGUUCAGAGUGACUACUAUUUGUUCUGGUACAAGCAGCCUCCCAGCGGGGAGACGAUUUUCAUUAUUCACCAAGAAGCUUAUAAGCAACAGAAUGCAACAGCUAAUCGCUACUCUGUGAACUUCCAGAAAGCAGCCAAAUCCUUCAGUCUCAGGAUCUCAGACUCCCAGCUGGAGGAUGCUGCGAUGUAUUUUUGCGCUUACACUGGCCCACAGUGAGAUGAGCAACGGGGAGAGGCUUACAGAAACCUCAGGCCUCAGCGUCUGUGCAGAGAUCAGGGGCGAAGUAGUUGGGGUAAGAGGA